UGGGGAAUAUUGCGCAAUGGGCGAAAGCCUGACGCAGCAACGCCGCGUGAGUGAUGAAGGCCUUCGGGUCGUAAAGCUCUGUCGGAGGGAACGAAUGCUCCUGAAGUUAACAGCCUCAGGAGGUGACGGUACCCUCAAAGGAAGCACCGGCUAACUCUGUGCCAGCAGCCGCGGUAAUACAGAGGGUGCAAGCGUUGUUCGGAAUCAUUGGGCGUAAAGGGCGUGUAGGCGGCAAUUCAAGUCAUCUGUGAAAUCUCCGGGCUUAACUCGGAACGGUCAGAUGAUACUGCUUUGCUAGAGUGCAGAAGGGGCAAUCGGAAUUCUUGGUGUAGCGGUGAAAUGCGUAGAUAUCAAGAGGAACACCUGAGGUGAAGACGGGUUGCUGGGCUGACACUGACGCUGAGGCGCGAAAGCCAGGGGAGCAAACGGGAUUAGAUACCCAGGUAGUCCCUGAGCGGGCUGGCAAGGCGCAU
RNAcentral lists this ribosomal RNA (473 nucleotides) under uncultured bacterium. Its description in RNAcentral is "bacterial SSU rRNA". It matches the Rfam family "Bacterial small subunit ribosomal RNA", at positions 355 to 825 of the family's 1533-position model. The record is from RNAcentral.